AGAACGAACGCUGGCGGCGUGCUUAACACAUGCAAGUCGAGCGGAAAGGCCCUUCGGGGUACUCGAGCGGCGAACGGGUGAGUAACACGUGAGUAACCUGCCCCUAGCUCUGGGAUAGCUCCGGGAAACCGGGAUUAAUACCAGAUACGACCACUUUAGACAUCUGUCGUGGUGGAAAGGAUUCCGGCUAGGGAUGGGCUCGCGGCCUAUCAGCUUGUUGGUGGGGUAACGGCCUACCAAGGCGACGACGGGUA
RNAcentral lists this ribosomal RNA (254 nucleotides) under uncultured bacterium. RNAcentral describes it as "partial small subunit ribosomal RNA". It matches the Rfam family "Bacterial small subunit ribosomal RNA", at positions 26 to 285 of the family's 1533-position model. The record is from RNAcentral.